AUCAGUUAUGAUUUCUUAGAUGGUACUUUUUACUUGGAUAACUGUGGUAAUUCUAGAGCUAAUACAUGCAACUGAGCUCCGAUUCCCUCGGGAGGACGAGUGCUUUUAUUAGACCAAGACCAAACGGCCCCGGCCGUCAGUCGUGGUGACUCUGGAUAACUCUAGCGGAUCGCACGGUCUCCGUACCGGCGACGCAUCUUUCAAGUGUCUGCCUUAUCAACUUUCGAUGGUAGGUUAUAUGCCUACCAUGGUUGUUACGGGUAACGGGGAAUCAGGGUUCGAUUCCGGAGAGGGAGCCUGAGAAACGGCUACCACAUCCAAGGAAGGCAGCAGGCGCGCAAAUUACCCACUCCCGGCACGGGGAGGUAGUGACGAAAAAUAACAAUACGGGACUUGUACGAGUUCCCGUAAUUGGAAUGAGUACACUCUAAACCUUUUAACAAGGAUCAAUUGGAGGA
RNAcentral lists this ribosomal RNA (458 nucleotides) under Lagynochthonius sp. 82559.1. RNAcentral's name for it is "SSU rRNA". It matches the Rfam family "Eukaryotic small subunit ribosomal RNA", at positions 105 to 555 of the family's 1831-position model. The record is from RNAcentral. Lineage: Eukaryota; Metazoa; Arthropoda; Arachnida; Pseudoscorpiones; Chthoniidae.